CUGACCUAUCAACUCGAGGACGGCGGGGUAGAGGCCCCGACCGCGGUAACGACGGGUAACGGGGAAUCAGGGUUCGAUUCCGGAGAGGGAGCCCGAGAAAACGGCUACCACUUCCAAGGAAGGCAGCAGGCGCGCAACUUACCCUAAUCUCGAUUCGAGGAGGUAGUGACAGAAAUACCGAUGCGGGACCCUACGGGGUGCCGCGUUCGGAAUGAGUACGAUUCGAACCACCUAACGAGGAACGAUCGGAGGGCAAGUCUGGUGCCAGCAGCCGCGGUAAUUCCAGCUCCAAUAGCGUACGUUAAAGUUGCUGCAGUUAAAAAGCUCGUAGUUGAACGUUCGGGUUCCGCGGGACGGGGCCGCCCCGUGAGGGACGGUCGCCGCCCCGGGGGCUCGUGAUAUCUUAUCUCGCCGCCCGUCGCGAGGCGGAC
RNAcentral lists this ribosomal RNA (431 nucleotides) under uncultured eukaryote. RNAcentral's name for it is "bacterial SSU rRNA". It matches the Rfam family "Eukaryotic small subunit ribosomal RNA", at positions 307 to 733 of the family's 1831-position model. The record is from RNAcentral.